RNAcentral lists this ribosomal RNA (2555 nucleotides) under Klebsiella pneumoniae MGH 75. RNAcentral's name for it is "bacterial LSU rRNA". It matches the Rfam family "Bacterial large subunit ribosomal RNA", at positions 1 to 2585 of the family's 2925-position model. The record is from RNAcentral. Lineage: Bacteria; Pseudomonadati; Pseudomonadota; Gammaproteobacteria; Enterobacterales; Enterobacteriaceae.
UUAAGCGACUAAGCGUACACGGUGGAUGCCCUGGCAGUCAGAGGCGAUGAAGGACGUGCUAAUCUGCGAAAAGCGUCGGUAAGGUGAUAUGAACCGUUAUAACCGGCGAUGUCCGAAUGGGGAAACCCAGUGCAAUUCGUUGCACUAUCGUUAACUGAAUACAUAGGUUAACGAGGCGAACCGGGGGAACUGAAACAUCUAAGUACCCCGAGGAAAAGAAAUCAACCGAGAUUCCCCCAGUAGCGGCGAGCGAACGGGGAGCAGCCCAGAGUCUGAAUCAGCUUGUGUGUUAGUGGAACGGUCUGGAAAGUCCGACGGUACAGGGUGAUAGUCCCGUACACCAAAAUGCACAGGCUGUGAACUCGAAGAGUAGGGCGGGACACGUGGUAUCCUGUCUGAAUAUGGGGGGACCAUCCUCCAAGGCUAAAUACUCCUGACUGACCGAUAGUGAACCAGUACCGUGAGGGAAAGGCGAAAAGAACCCCGGCGAGGGGAGUGAAAAAGAACCUGAAACCGUGUACGUACAAGCAGUGGGAGCACCUUCGGGUGUGACUGCGUACCUUUUGUAUAAUGGGUCAGCGACUUAUAUUCUGUAGCAAGGUUAACCGUAUAGGGGAGCCGCAGGGAAACCGAGUCUUAACUGGGCGUUAAGUUGCAGGGUAUAGACCCGAAACCCGGUGAUCUAGCCAUGGGCAGGUUGAAGGUUGGGUAACACUAACUGGAGGACCGAACCGACUAAUGUUGAAAAAUUAGCGGAUGACUUGUGGCUGGGGGUGAAAGGCCAAUCAAACCGGGAGAUAGCUGGUUCUCCCCGAAAGCUAUUUAGGUAGCGCCUCGUGAAUUCAUCUUCGGGGGUAGAGCACUGUUUCGGCUAGGGGGUCAUCCCGACUUACCAACCCGAUGCAAACUACGAAUACCGAAGAAUGUUAUCACGGGAGACACACGGCGGGUGCUAACGUCCGUCGUGAAGAGGGAAACAACCCAGACCGCCAGCUAAGGUCCCAAAGUCAUGGUUAAGUGGGAAACGAUGUGGGAAGGCACAGACAGCCAGGAUGUUGGCUUAGAAGCAGCCAUCAUUUAAAGAAAGCGUAAUAGCUCACUGGUCGAGUCGGCCUGCGCGGAAGAUGUAACGGGGCUAAACCAUGCACCGAAGCUGCGGCAGCGACACUAUGUGUUGUUGGGUAGGGGAGCGUUCUGUAAGCCUGCGAAGGUGUGCUGUGAGGCAUGCUGGAGGUAUCAGAAGUGCGAAUGCUGACAUAAGUAACGAUAAAGCGGGUGAAAAGCCCGCUCGCCGGAAGACCAAGGGUUCCUGUCCAACGUUAAUCGGGGCAGGGUGAGUCGACCCCUAAGGCGAGGCCGAAAGGCGUAGUCGAUGGGAAACAGGUUAAUAUUCCUGUACUUGGUGUUACUGCGAAGGGGGGACGGAGAAGGCUAUGUUAGCCGGGCGACGGUUGUCCCGGUUUAAGCAUGUAGGCUGAUUAUCCAGGCAAAUCCGGAUAAUCAAGGCUGAGGUGUGAUGACGAGGCACUACGGUGCUGAAGUAACAAAUGCCCUGCUUCCAGGAAAAGCCUCUAAGCAUCAGGUAACAUCAAAUCGUACCCCAAACCGACACAGGUGGUCAGGUAGAGAAUACCAAGGCGCUUGAGAGAACUCGGGUGAAGGAACUAGGCAAAAUGGUGCCGUAACUUCGGGAGAAGGCACGCUGGUGUGUAGGUGAAGCCCCUGCGGGUGGAGCUGAGACCAGUCGAAGAUACCAGCUGGCUGCAACUGUUUAUUAAAAACACAGCACUGUGCAAACACGAAAGUGGACGUAUACGGUGUGACGCCUGCCCGGUGCCGGAAGGUUAAUUGAUGGGGUUAUCCGUAAGGAGAAGCUCUUGAUCGAAGCCCCGGUAAACGGCGGCCGUAACUAUAACGGUCCUAAGGUAGCGAAAUUCCUUGUCGGGUAAGUUCCGACCUGCACGAAUGGCGUAAUGAUGGCCAGGCUGUCUCCACCCGAGACUCAGUGAAAUUGAACUCGCUGUGAAGAUGCAGUGUACCCGCGGCAAGACGGAAAGACCCCGUGAACCUUUACUAUAGCUUGACACUGAACAUUGAGCCUUGAUGUGUAGGAUAGGUGGGAGGCUUUGAAGCGUGGACGCCAGUCUGCGUGGAGCCAACCUUGAAAUACCACCCUUUAAUGUUUGAUGUUCUAACGUUGGCCCCUUACCGGGGUUGCGGACAGUGUCUGGUGGGUAGUUUGACUGGGGCGGUCUCCUCCCAAAGCGUAACGGAGGAGCACGAAGGUUAGCUAAUCCUGGUCGGACAUCAGGAGGUUAGUGCAAUGGCAUAAGCUAGCUUGACUGCGAGCGUGACGGCGCGAGCAGGUGCGAAAGCAGGUCAUAGUGAUCCGGUGGUUCUGAAUGGAAGGGCCAUCGCUCAACGGAUAAAAGGUACUCCGGGGAUAACAGGCUGAUACCGCCCAAGAGUUCAUAUCGACGGCGGUGUUUGGCACCUCGAUGUCGGCUCAUCACAUCCUGGGGCUGAAGUAGGUCCCAAGGGUAUGGCUGUUCGCC